ACGAGUUGGAUGACUGUUCAAAAUAAAAAUCCCAGUCUGAGCUCGGUUUUUUUUCAGAUUCCCCAGUUGUCUUCAACUCACUGAAGUCGGAAGUCAGAGAUUGACGACUUUCGAGAUGUUUUGAAUGCACCACUAGAGACCUAGGCUCCCCUCAACCCACAAAUUUAGUGGACACUUCUGAUGACGUCUGGCAGGAUUUCCUUUUGAUUUCCUACACCAUCAUGGUUGUCAAGACAGGCUCUCUGGCUCGCAGGAUAUCCCACGCAUGCCCCUUCAAGGCUCCGAUGAAGUACAUUGAGACAGAGCCGAAGAAGGGCUUGGUGGUAGUGGAGGAACAGAAAGUUGAAGGUGAAGGAACACAGAAGACCUCCUGUACGAGUUGCCAGAGAACAUCCGGACCAAGAAGACAGAGGAGAUGUUGUCCAAUAAAAUGCUUAAUGGGAACCCCGAGGUUGACCUGGGCAUUUAGUGAGUUGUCUCAAAAUGCUUCUGCGGCUGUGGUAGUGCCCAGGUUUUGGAGCUUGGGGUAGUUCGUUUUUUUUGCAUUUUGCAGUUGUUGAAACUGUAUUAAUGUCGGCAAUAAUCUUACCGCAACAAAUCCAGUGACUGAAAACCUUGCACAACAGCUUUGGUGUUUGUUUAUUUCUAUUACAAUCUUUAAGCACAUCUUGUUUGACCCUGUCACGUUCUGACCUUUAUUUCCUUUGUUUUGUCUUUAUUUAGUAUGGUCAGGGCGUGAGUUGGGGUGGGCAGUCUAUGUUUGAAUUUCUAGGUUUUCCUAUUUCAGUGUUUGGCCUGAUAUGGUUCUCAAUCAGAGGCAGUUGUUUUGUGUUGUCUCUGAUUGGGAACCAUAUUUAGGUAGCCUGUUUUGUGUUGGGUUUUGUGGGUGGUUGUUUUUAGUCUUUGUGUGUCUGCACCAGAUAGAACUGUUUCGGUUGUCACUUUUGUUGUUUUGUAUUUUGAGUGUUCACCUUUAUUAAAACAAGAUGAACAAUUA
Salvelinus fontinalis (brook trout) is the source of this 997-nucleotide long non-coding RNA. RefSeq lists it as uncharacterized. NCBI's taxonomy places the organism in Eukaryota, Metazoa, Chordata, Actinopteri, Salmoniformes, Salmonidae. The record is from RefSeq and is a predicted model, not a curated record. The transcript has 2 exons.